Actinia tenebrosa (Australian red waratah sea anemone) is the source of this 553-nucleotide long non-coding RNA. RefSeq lists it as uncharacterized. The record is from RefSeq and is a predicted model, not a curated record. Lineage: Eukaryota; Metazoa; Cnidaria; Anthozoa; Actiniaria; Actiniidae.
UUCUAGACUAGAUUGUGACUGUAUCUUAAUGUAAGCUCCUUCUUAUUUCUAAGAUGAGCAAUAGGGCACCCAAAAAGCAUUAAACUUUCAGACUUGCUGGUCAUAUAGAAUUCAAUCAACUUCGCUGACCACAGCUUGUAGUUCUAUGAGAGCAGCGAUCAGGAAGUCUUAUAACUGCAUCACUUACUUCAACAGACAUGCAUCAGAGGAAUGAAAACCAGAGAACCUGGAAAAAAUCCUUGAAUCAAGUAAGGAGAAAAAACUCUACUCACUACAUGUAAUCACGCAGGAAUGUCGGCCAGGAACCUGAGACCCCAGAUAUUAGAGGAGAGUGUACUACUGCUACGCCACUCUUGAUUUAACUGUUCAGACCUCCCUUUGCCCUCUCUUUCCCGCCCUGAUAUACUUACGUGCAUAAGCGAGUGACUUAUCGUUAAAGACAAGUUAACUUGUUUGUCUCUCUAGAAGCACUGUCCAAGAUUUGUCUAUGAAACUAAGUGAGCCAAUCCAAACUUUUUAGGUAACAGACGAUUAAAAGCCUCCUAAAAACAUG